RNAcentral lists this long non-coding RNA (302 nucleotides) under Elaeis guineensis (African oil palm). Its description in RNAcentral is "long non-coding RNA (EGUI_LNC047678)". The record is from RNAcentral. Lineage: Eukaryota; Viridiplantae; Streptophyta; Magnoliopsida; Arecales; Arecaceae.
CGAACUUCUGCAAGAACCGGACUCCGUCCGAACUUCUACAGCGGAUGGAUUCCAGACGAACUUCUACAAUGGAUGGGCUCUAGCAGCCAAAUUUCUACAGUGACCGACUGUCUCCGGUGUCUUCCAUACCUCUCCAGCCAUCAACCUUUAGCAGCGCCAACCAGACUUCAACAGUGCCAACCAGACCCCUCCAACGGAUAAAUUCCCUCCGGACCCCUCCAACGGUCGACCUUCUACAAUGUCCUCUAGACUCCUCCAGCGGACGAACUUUCACAACGCCUUUCGGACUCUUCUUUCAGUCA